AACAUAGCCUUUAGCUUAACAAGUAUUAAAGGUCUCGCCUGCCCAGUGACCCCUUAAACGGCCGCGGUAUCCUAACCGUGCAAAGGUAGCAUAAUCACUUGUCCCCUAAAUAGGGACUAGAAUGAACGGCUACAUGAGGACUAACCUGUCUCUUGCAUUCAAUCAAUGAAAUUGAUCUCUCAGUCCAAAAGCUGAAAUAACCCCAUAAGACGAGAAGACCCUGUGGAGCUUAUUAAACUAAGCUCACCGACAUGAACGCCUAGUUUUCAGUUGGGGCGACUUCGGAGCACAAAAAACCCUCCAAAUUAAUCCAACCAGAUUAACACAUCGACACCUCCUUGACCCAGUAGUUUUAACCCUCCUACCUGAUCAAUGAAACAAGUUACCCCAGGGAUAACAGCGCCAUCCCCUUCAAGAGUCCCCAUCGACAAGGGGGUUUACGACCUCGAUGUUGGAUCAGGACACCCAAAUAGUGCAUCCGCUAUUAACGGUUCGUUUGUUCAACGAUUAAAGUCCUACGUGAU
RNAcentral lists this ribosomal RNA (524 nucleotides) under Nucras tessellata. Its description in RNAcentral is "partial 16S ribosomal RNA". It matches the Rfam family "Bacterial large subunit ribosomal RNA", at positions 1812 to 2604 of the family's 2925-position model. Lineage: Eukaryota; Metazoa; Chordata; Lepidosauria; Squamata; Lacertidae. The record is from RNAcentral.